Molecule: ribosomal RNA, 468 nt
Filed under: uncultured bacterium
Lineage: Bacteria
Description: partial 16S ribosomal RNA
Rfam family: Bacterial small subunit ribosomal RNA
Source: RNAcentral
GACGAACGCUGGCGGCGUGCUUAACACAUGCAAGUCGAACGGAAAGGCCCUGCUUUUGUGGGGUGCUCGAGUGGCGAACGGGUGAGUAACACGUGAGUAACCUGCCCUUGACUGUGGGAUAACUUCAGGAAACUGGGGCUAAUACCGGAUAGGAGCUCCUGCUGCAUGGUGGGGGUUGGAAAGUUUCGGCGGUUGGGGAUGGACUCGCGGCUUAUCAGCUUGUUGGUUGGGUAGUGGCUUACCAAGGCUUUGACGGGUAGCCGGCCUGAGAGGGUGACCGGCCACAUUGGGCCUGAGCUGCGGCCCGGACUCCUCCGGGAGGCAGCAGUGCGGAAUAUUGCACAAUGGGCGGAAGCCUGAUGCAGCCACGCCGCGUGCGGGAUGACGGCCUUCGGGUUGUAAACCGCUUUCGCCUGUGACGAAGCGUGAGUGACGGUAAUGGGUAAAGAAGCACCGGCUAACUACGUG